AGUGAACGCUGGCGGUAGGCCUAACACAUGCAAGUCGAACGGCAGCACAGUAAGAGCUUGCUCUUACGGGUGGCGAGUGGCGGACGGGUGAGGAAUAUAUCGGAAUCUACUUUUUCGUGGGGGAUAACGUAGGGAAACUUACGCUAAUACCGCAUACGCCCUACGGGUGAAAGCAUGGGAUCUUUGGACCUUGCGCGAUUGAAUGCGCCGAUGUCGGAUUAGUUAGUGGGCGGGGUAAAGACCCACCCAGGCGACGAUCCGUAGCUGGACUGAGAGGAUGAUCGGCCACACUGGAACGGGGACACGGUCCAGAGGCCUACGGGAGGCAGCAGUGGGGAAUGUGGGACAAUAGGCGCGAGCCUGAUCCAACCAUACCGCGUGGGUGAAGAAGGCCUUCGGGUUGUAAAGCCCUUUUGUUGGGAAAGAAAAGCAGCAGGUUAAUACCCCGCUGUUCUGACGGUACCCAAAGAAUAAGCACCGGCUAACUUCGUG
RNAcentral lists this ribosomal RNA (492 nucleotides) under uncultured bacterium. Its description in RNAcentral is "partial 16S ribosomal RNA". It matches the Rfam family "Bacterial small subunit ribosomal RNA", at positions 29 to 507 of the family's 1533-position model. The record is from RNAcentral.